RNAcentral lists this unclassified non-coding RNA (337 nucleotides) under soil metagenome. RNAcentral describes it as "partial contains 5.8S ribosomal RNA, internal transcribed spacer 2, and large subunit ribosomal RNA". The stretch from base 1 to 120 matches the Rfam family "5.8S ribosomal RNA", at positions 35 to 154 of the family's 154-position model. The record is from RNAcentral.
GAUGAAGAACGUAUCGAAAUGCGAUAAGUAGUGUGAAUUGCAGAAUUCAGUGAAUCAUCGAAUCUUUGAACGCACAUUGCGCCCCUUGGUAUUCCAUGGGGCAUGCUUGUUCGAGCGUCAUUUGUACUCUCAAGCUCUGCUUGGUGUUGGGUGUUUGUCCUUUCCCUGCGUUAGGACUCGCCUCAAAUUCAUUGGCAGCCGAUAUAUUGGUUUGAAGCGCAGCACAAUUUGCGAUUCGGGCUGGUUAUUGUUGGCGUCCAGUAAGCACAUUUAACACUUUUGACCUCGGAUCAAGUAGGGAUACCCGCUGAACUUAAGCAUAUCAAUAAGCGGAGGA